RNAcentral lists this ribosomal RNA (907 nucleotides) under uncultured Bacteroidota bacterium. RNAcentral's name for it is "bacterial SSU rRNA". It matches the Rfam family "Bacterial small subunit ribosomal RNA", at positions 20 to 917 of the family's 1533-position model. Lineage: Bacteria; Pseudomonadati; Bacteroidota. The record is from RNAcentral.
UGGCUCAGGAUGAACGCUAGCUACAGGCUUAACACAUGCAAGUCGAGGGGAAACGACAUCGAAAGCUUGCUUUUGAUGGGCGUCGACCGGCGCACGGGUGAGUAACGCGUAUCCAACCUGCCCACCACUUGGGGAUAACCUUGCGAAAGUAAGACUAAUACCCAAUGAUAUCUCUAGAAGACAUCUGAAAGAGAUUAAAGAUUUAUCGGUGAUGGAUGGGGAUGCGUCUGAUUAGCUUGUUGGCGGGGUAACGGCCCACCAAGGCAACGAUCAGUAGGGGUUCUGAGAGGAAGGUCCCCCACAUUGGAACUGAGACACGGUCCAAACUCCUACGGGAGGCAGCAGUGAGGAAUAUUGGUCAAUGGACGAGAGUCUGAACCAGCCAAGUAGCGUGCAGGAUGACGGCCCUAUGGGUUGUAAACUGCUUUUAUAAGGGAAUAAAGUGAGUCUCGUGAGACUUUUUGCAUGUACCUUAUGAAUAAGGACCGGCUAAUUCCGUGCCAGCAGCCGCGGUAAUACGGAAGGUCCGGGCGUUAUCCGGAUUUAUUGGGUUUAAAGGGAGCGUAGGCCGGAGAUUAAGCGUGUUGUGAAAUGUAGACGCUCAACGUCUGCACUGCAGCGCGAACUGGUUUCCUUGAGUACGCACAAAGUGGGCGGAAUUCGUGGUGUAGCGGUGAAAUGCUUAGAUAUCACGAAGAACUCCGAUUGCGAAGGCAGCUCACUGGAGCGCAACUGACGCUGAAGCUCGAAAGUGCGGGUAUCGAACAGGAUUAGAUACCCUGGUAGUCCGCACGGUAAACGAUGGAUGCCCGCUGUUGGUCUGAAUAGGUCAGCGGCCAAGCGAAAGCAUUAAGCAUCCCACCUGGGGAGUACGCCGGCAACGGUGCAACUCAAAUGAAUUGACGGA